GAUUUACAUCAAGAACCCACGAAUCUCAGAGAAUGCAUCUGAGAACCUCAAACUUCAGUUUAAGAAAUACCCAUGGAAUAGACCCAUGUUUGGAUUUGGAGUCCAAACCAGCAGGACUUGGAUCCCACUUCUACUCACGUACCACUAUGUGGUCUCUGAAACUUAACCCUAUCGUGCUGAAGUGCUUGCUGGUAAAUUCUCUGUGCUUCUGCAAACCCAGGAAACUUCCAGGGAUUUUGGCCUCCUCGUUGAUUUGGGAAGAUAUUGAUUGUUGAAAAGAAAAAAACAAAAACCAUCCAGCCUCAAAGUUGAAUGUUUGGUGUCAAGCAGAGAACUCAGCCUGUGUUGAGCAGGACUGGAGCCGGAGUCCACGCUGGGCACUGGCACUGUCUCUCUGCAACCAGUCCGAAGGGAAGAGAAAAUGCUCAACUUCAAGAACAAGCCUCCUUUGUGGUAUGCACUUGGAGACCAGGUGCCCAGCAGCAGCCCAGUCCUCUAUGGCAAAUAAGUUGCUCAGAGUUGAAAAACAAAACCAAAGGCCAAUUGAACAUUGCUGAACGUACAUUUUAUGCACUGUCCGGGUCAAUGAUAAGACUCCAUUCUCUGGUACUCACCCACGUGACAGCCUGGGGAGCACUGUAGAUGGGACAAUAACAGGCUGGGGCCGAGGGUCUGGAUUCUGAUGUUGCUUCUUCCACUCACUGGAACAACCUUGGCUGGGCUACCUGGGACGAGCCACGGUCUCUGCUGUUGAUGCUGCGUCCAUCCUGUGGGCAUGGAAGCUGCUUGCCUUGUUAUAAACAUGACGUGGGAGGCAGGAAUGGAGCUUUCAUCCUAGUAUCUGUCUGCCCCUCCAGGGAAGAGGCCACACUUGGUGCUCCAAGAGGAGCCAGACACCCUUCACCCUCCAGGGCUCCCCUCCACCCAGUAGAAAGUCAAGGCCUCUGCGAUUCACAGAGGGGAGGGCUGGCUUGUUUCUGGCCCACAUCAACAACUUAGAUUUUGCAGACCUCGUACCCUUGAGCCCAGGAGGUUAUGAAAGUGUCCUGUGAGGAACAAUCUGGUCUGCUUGCAUAGAGCUCUGAGAUCUACCCAGUAAGGAGGUUUCAAAUGGCUAUCUAAAACUGAUUUUAGAAAGGAGCCGCCCUGGCAGCUAAUGCUAAGUGGGGGUGUCUCUCAAAUGAUAGGGCCUGGGUUCUGCCUCCAAAAGGGACCUGAGGGUUUUAGGCAGUGGUCAGGGGACACUGGGCUAUGUUAUUAGCACAGGGGAUGCUGAGGAGGGUCUCCAGUGCAUGAGAGGGUCCUGAAAAGGCCAUCACUUCCUCACUUCUGUGCUUGCACCUUAGAAGCCAACUAGAGUCUUCUCAGAGCACAAAUGUUUCUACAGUCACCCAAAGACCGCUUCUAGAAGGUUCUGUAAAAUUCUAAGUCCAGGGGAGACCUUCAUCUGAGGCAGCAGAGCAGGCUUGGGAUGGGUCAUAGAAAGAUGAGGACACUGAGGCAGGAGGACUUGGGAGGGGACACACCAUGAAUCAGCAGCAGGGCUGGUUCUGAAACCCAACCUCCUGGUGGAGGCAGCCCCCCCCGGGAGGCUCAACCCUGCACUGAGCUCCCUGAGCACCCACCAGCAGGGGGAGCUCUGCCUCAGGGCAGCGUUCAGCAUCUCCUGGCAGGAGGCACAUCUUCCCUGUGGAGGAAGUGAGUUGAAAGAGCCAUCCCUAAAGGCCCAGGCUGGCAGGCGAGGCCGCACUGUCCUGUAUCUCUGCUCUGCAGCAACUCCCACCCAUCCACCCACUGCUAGCUCCUCCUGGGUCCUUGGGACCUCUGAAAAUGAUUCCAUCCAAUAGGAGGGCAUGAGUUCCUCCCAAAACAUGUGCAUAAGUUUCCUCAUCUUAGUUGGGACAAUGACAGGGACAAUGACCUGUUCUAAUACCUGUCAGGGACUGUGCCGGCAGAGUGGCUCCCAGUAGGGAGAGGUGGAACCAGAGUGCAGGUGGGUGGGCUUUUUAACCAGAGAAAUGUGUCUAUUGACCUUUGCAGACAUUUAUUGAGCACCUACUAAGUGCCAGAGGAUGGACAGUCAUGAUCCCAGAUAUCUAAUCGGGGACACGGAGUCCAACUUUCCUUCUGAAUGUCAGCUGCCCAAUCCUGGGCUUUGUGCUGCUUCUCUUUCUUCCUCACUCUUUUUUCUUUCUUCCUUAAGCCACCAACAAAACUCUGACCUCUCCCCGCACACACAAUGCAGGCAGUCACUCAUGCAUUAACAACCACUGGGCCCCAAAGGUCGUUUCUAUGACAACCCCGGGGUCCUUAAUGACCCUGGCAGGCCAAUGAUUUUGUUUUGUUUGAGAGUGAAGGAAUAAUAAGUCAGGCCGGCUUGCUCAGGCGCUGGCCCCUCUCCCCCUCGCCCCCUCCUCUCUGCACUGAUAUACUGUUCAUUAUCUGCUGUUGCAUCAGCCCCAGAGACGGGGCGGCAGCCAGCUCUGAAAGACAAGAGCCUGGCUGCAGACAAAGAGCUGCAAAGGACCAGAGUGUGCCCUGCAUCCAGGGCCGCCUGGGCUUCAUCAAUGCCUUCGCGGGUAGGGAAGUGCAAGCAAGGACCCUGAGGUCCCCAGCUCCUGGGGCCCUGUGGCACCUAGAUGAACCCCCAAAUCACUAUGCAGUUCUUUAGAAAAGCAUCAUGUGACGAGCCCUGUUGGGAGACCUCCCUACCCAGGAUGUGUGCCCGACUGGCAGCCAGGCAGCGCGGCUCCCGAAGGCAAGACCUAUCAUUUUAAUGAUGGGAUGAACAAGCAAUUAAUGUGAGCCCACCAGCCUCCAUAUGGAUCAUCAGUAACUGGGGAGGCUGGGCCGAUGGCGCAGACAAAGGCAGGAACAGGGCGGCCCAGCUGAUCCCCCGUCCUGGCCUCCGGUGGAGCCCUGCCCUCUCGGUUCUCCAGUUUGGUUCUCUGGUUCUAGGCGGAGAAACGUCCUGGGGAGGAAGCUUUCAUUGUCUUCUGAUCUUGGGGCCAACGGGCCUCUAGCUUGUCACAUUAAUUUUCAAACGUGGCGUUUGGCAGCCUGGGAUUUUACUAGCAGACACUUGGAAUUAUUUUUGUUGUGUGUGCAGCGCUAAAAUCCCCUAGAAUAAGUCAUUAUCCUCAAAAAAAAAAAAAAAAAUCAGCUCCUACUGGCUGCCUGGUGGCCCAA
This is a non-coding RNA of Ictidomys tridecemlineatus (thirteen-lined ground squirrel), 3189 nucleotides long. Lineage: Eukaryota; Metazoa; Chordata; Mammalia; Rodentia; Sciuridae. The record is from RefSeq and is a predicted model, not a curated record.